This 771-nucleotide long non-coding RNA is filed under the name Homo sapiens (human). RNAcentral's name for it is "non-protein coding ELOA-AS1:20". Lineage: Eukaryota; Metazoa; Chordata; Mammalia; Primates; Hominidae. The record is from RNAcentral.
AGAGUUCGUAUAUGACUCCAGUCCUGGCGCUGGAUGCUGCUGCUGUUCCAGCUUCCUAGGUGUGGAAACUGAAGGACCAAGAGAUUAAACAGUGGUGCAAAAGUGGUAAGAAUUCAGCAUUCUCCUCGACAAGUGGACGAGCAUCUACUGUGCUUUCACAGCGGCUAUCACUAUUGCCAGCAGCAAGACUGUCAGCUCGGCGCCCUCGUCUGGUUGGAUGGGAAACUGCAGUUGCUAAGGGAGCUGGGUUUGAAUCUCUGAGGACAAAUGGGAAUUCUCACUGAUUUCUAGGACUACCCUGGGGCAGAGAUGGAGUUUCAUCACAUUGCCUAGGCUGGUCUCGAAAUCCUGGACUCAAGUGAUCUGCUGGCCUCAGCCUCCCUAACUGCUGGGACUAGAGGCCUGAGCGACCACCCCUGGCUGUAAACAUUUUCUUAGCUCAAGGAUUGCUGAAUUUGUAUCCAUUUUCUUCUCUCCUAUCUCAAUUGGGUGGGUGAAAUGAUACUGUUAAUUAUUUUCUGUUACUUUUGAAUGCUUCUUUGUGGCGAACUGAGGGCAUAGUAAUACUGUAGCAGCUAACAACCAUAUGGGUCCCGAGGGCUUUACUAAUGUUAUUUUUUAAUUUUCCUAAUUGCAGGUGUUUUAUUAUUAGCUUCAUUUUAUAGAUGAGAAAACUGGGCACAGAGAGGCUGAGUUACUUGCUCAAGUUCAUACAGGUGGUCAGUAGUAGAGCUAGGAUUUGAACCCGGCAGUCAGCCUCGGGAGUUCAUG